Molecule: ribosomal RNA, 468 nt
Filed under: uncultured bacterium
Lineage: Bacteria
Description: partial 16S ribosomal RNA
Rfam family: Bacterial small subunit ribosomal RNA
Source: RNAcentral
GACGAACGCUGGCGGCGUGCUUAACACAUGCAAGUCGAACGGAAAGGCCCUGCUUUUGUGGGGUGCUCGAGUGGCGAACGGGUGAGUAACACGUGAGUAACCUGCCCUUGACUUUGGGAUAACUUCAGGAAACUGGGGCUAAUACCGGAUAGGAGCUCCUGCUGCAUGGUGGGGGUUGGAAAGUUUCGGCGGUCGGGGAUGGACUCGCGGCUUAUCGGCUUGUUGGUGGGGUAGUGGCUUACCAAGGCUUUGACGGGUAGCCGGCCUGAGAGGGUGACCGGCCACAUUGGGACUGAGGUACGGCCCAGACUCCUACGGGAGGCAGCAGUGGGGAAUAUUGCACAGUGGGCGGAAGCCUGAUGCAGAGACGCCGCGUGCGGGAUGACGGCCUUCGGGUUGUAAAACGCUUUCGCCUGUGACGAAGCGUGAGUGACGGUAAUGGGUAAAGAAGCACCGGCUAACUACGUG